AUGCAAGUCGAACGAGAGAAGAGAAGCUUGCUUUUCUGAUCUAGUGGCGGACGGGUGAGUAACACGUGAGCAAUCUGCCUUUCAGAGGGGGAUACCGAUUGGAAACGAUCGUUAAUACCGCAUAAUAUAAUUGAACCGCAUGAUUUGAUUAUCAAAGAUUUAUCGCUGAAAGAUGAGCUCGCGUCUGAUUAGCUAGUUGGUAAGGUAACGGCUUACCAAGGCGACGAUCAGUAGCCGGACUGAGAGGUUGAUCGGCCACAUUGGGACUGAGACACGGCCCAGACUCCUACGGGAGGCAGCAGUGGGGAAUAUUGCACAAUGGAGGAAACUCUGAUGCAGCGAUGCCGCGUGAGGGAAGAAGGUUUUAGGAUUGUAAACCUCUGUCUUCAGGGACGAAAAAUGACGGUACCUGAGGAGGAAGCUCCGGCUAACUACGUGCCAGCAGCCGCGGUAAUACGUAGGGAGCGAGCGUUGUCCGGAAUUACUGGGUGUAAAGGGAGCGUAGGCGGGAUCGCAAGUCAGAUGUGAAAACUAUGGGCUUAACCCAUAAACUGCAUUUGAAACUGUGGUUCUUGAGUGAAGUAGAGGUAAGCGGAAUUCCUAGUGUAGCGGUGAAAUGCGUAGGUAUUAGGAGGAACAUCAGUGGCGAAGGCGGCUUACUGGGCUUUAACUGACGCUGAGGCUCGAAAGCGUGGGGAGCAAACAGGAUUAGAUACCCUGGUAGUCCACGCCGUAAACGAUGAUUACUAGGUGUGGGGGGACUGACCCCUUCCGUGCCGCAGCAAACGCAAUAAGUAAUCCACCUGGGGAGUACGACCGCAAGGUUGAAACUCAAAGGAAUUGACGGGGGCCCGCACAAGCAGUGGAGUAUGUGGAUUAAUUCGAAGCAACGCGAA
Molecule: ribosomal RNA, 896 nt
Filed under: uncultured bacterium
Lineage: Bacteria
Description: bacterial SSU rRNA
Rfam family: Bacterial small subunit ribosomal RNA
Source: RNAcentral